CGUCACAUUAUUAAUUUAGAAUUGUCAAUAGCACCAAAUCACCAUAGAUUUGAAAUUACAAUAUCAAAAACUCACAAAAUUUGAUUGAGCAUUUUUUAAGCAUGAGCCUAACAUCUCUUUUCAAUUUUUACAUGCAAGUAAAAAUAGUGCACCAAAAGAACUGUACCUUUAAAUCAUAAUUCUUCCAUCUCUUUUCAUUUCUAUGUAUGUUCAUAGUUAUAGAACAAUUAAUGGUAAGCGACCUUAUUGGAACACCUGUGUGGUUUGACCCUUGUCCAAAAUAGAAGUUUAUCAUGAAGGCCUCAUAGAAAAUUCAACAUAACAUGAAUAAGAGUUAAUCAAAGACCAAAAAGUGAUUUAGCAUCAAUUUUGAUGUCAAAGGUACUGGUUAUUCUAAAAUUUAUCUUGCCACCCUCAAACCUUUCAAAAAUAUUGCCACCCUCGUGUUGUAUCCUCCAAAAAUACAUAGCUUUUUGGAUGAUUCACCACACAACAUCAUGUAGCCUGAAAACUACAUGCAUGAUCUUAUUUCACCAUUGCAAAAUGACUCCUCUUGACUGAGAAAUGCUGAAAGAACUGUUCCACUGCCUAAAAAAAUGAAGAAAAAUAUAAGUAAGCCUAUUCAUGAAUGAUCAAAUCUCUCACGAAGUAACUAAUAUAAUAGGUUAUCUCUUCUUUUGAUGAAGUAAAGAAGAAUAGGUCUAUCUCUAAAAUGAAAUUAGACACAACUUAAUAGUUAAAAGGUUAAUAGGCCAAAUAGUCGGCAAGCCACUAUUAAAAUAAAAAAAUUGAGGUCCCUGCACUUAUAACAUCUCAAUUGCUUCGUUAGACUUAUAUCUGUAACAGACUGCAAUAGAUCAAUUAAUUGGACAUUACAGAUUCCACAAAAAAGGUCCUUGAAACAUAAUUCCGUCUCAACAUCUAUGUAGAAAGACAAACAAACAUCACUCUGAAGAACAGAAGUAGGAACAUCUCAUCUUCAGUAGCAGUAGCUACUGGUUAAUUCACACCAAGUACAAUUCAAAACAAAGAAAAAACUACUUGCUAAUUUAAGGGAGAAGCUACAGUCAAGUAGGCAUGUUACAACAAAGUUUAAAAAGAUAUAUUUAUAAAUCCGAAAAAGUUUAAUGAGUAAUAGCAUGCUAAGUUUUGGUAGGAGAUAUCUUUCCAAAUUUAAAUAAAUUUUAGGAGCUUUUACAUUCUAUAAAGGAGAGCUUAUCUUUGUGACUGGAAGUUCUGCUACCAUCUUUAGCCAUCAGUUUCUUUCACAAGUUUAACUUUCAAGGGUUUACAUUACCUCUCUACCAAGAAUCAACAAACAAAGAAUUUUCAUGUCAAAGCUUAAAGUAGAAACAAUUUUUCUAAUGUUACAUACAAAAUGAUUCAUAUAAGAGUUUUAAAACUUUCUUAUUUGAAGUCUAACGUUUAAUCAGAUUGUCUCAGUAAAAAUCUGGUCCUCUUCUUCAGAGGAAGCACUCUAAACUUAGGCUGGUAAUCAAUCUCUAGCAUGGGCCUGACCACUUAAAGUGAAGAAUAUUAAUCAGCUAAGGAUGGUCCUUGUAUACAUAGUCUCGCAAUCUUAAUAGAUAUCCAACAGAAAACAUGAGAAACGUAAUCGACAACGGCGUAAGCAAAAGCAGAUAAAACCACAUGAUAUUAUUUUAUAAGCCUGCUAAAUUAGGUAAAAAUAAGUAUCAGACAAAGAUCUCCACCAGAAAAGAACAAAAAAAAUGCCAAAAAUUACAUGAAAAGAGUUUACUUUUGCUACAUAUUCGGCUACACUGAUUCCCUAUGAAUAUGGCGGUAGUUUACUAUUUCAGUUGCAAGAGGCACACUAAGGAGAUCAAAUUGGAUAUGUGAUUAAUGAGAUGGUGCUAUACAAGUUCAUAUUCUUGGAAGAGGAUACGCUACAAAGCAAACAGUUUCGUCAUAAAAUAUAAGUUUUUGUAGCUGCUCCAUGUACUACAUAUAUAUAAUCUCCAUAUGAAAAAUAUUCAACCGUUAAUAAGCAUGAGAAAUGUUUUUUUUUGAAGAGGCUAAGGCAUGGAACUAUCACAGAUCAAAGAGUAUCGAACUUUUAACAGCCAAUAUAUUCUAAAAGUUCCAUUGACUAUGAUAUCCGAUUUUAUUUUAUUUUUGUUACGAUUAGUUGAAAAGUUCUUUUUCGAAGGCUUCUCUUACUUUCCUUUCCUUAUUUAAUAUGGUUUUGGAAGUAACACAACUCUACAUUUUCAUAUAGUAACAGAUAUAACAGAAAGUGCACACACCUAUAAAAAUAAGAGUUCUCUUCUUUUAGAGUAGCAACAAAACGUAGAAGGAAAAACAUUAUUUUGCACGUCCACUUCGUAGUUAGUGGCAUAAUUGCAUCGAUAGUAAGCCUCUAUUCCAUUUUGGAAAUACUACGUUCAUCCAUGAUAAUAAUAUUGUAAGAAGAGCUGAUAUUGGAGGAAAUUAAUAAACUAAGUUACAACUAAAUAUUUGCAAGCAGAACUUGUCCAGUUGCGCAUUUUGGUCACAACAAAUGGCACAUGGAAACUUAAAAUAUCAGAGUUAUGUUUGUCUACCAUGGUUAGUAGCAAAGAUAAUUUGUCUGGGUCAUUUUUAGAAGCACAAAAGGACAUAAUUUUAAUGCAGGGAAAAGUUCUGUAGGAAAAUAUAUUUACUACACUACAUAUGUAUAAUUUUCUGGAUAAAUAACCAAAGGGUAAGCAAUUGGCCAAAAUCUCAAGUCUACAACUAUGAUUUUUCGUUGUUUUGUAAGAAAAGUGGAAUUGACGUUGAUUGGGUUUCUCAAUAUUGUAUUGAAAAGUUGAGUCCAUAAUUUUUAUAUUAGAAUUAACGAAGUUUCUUUAAAUAUUUAUAGAACAAAAAAAUUAAGUUGUUGAAGGUCUUUAUCGAGCACUUGUAAGGUGAAGAUCCUGCUACGAAACAGAUGGAGUAAUCAACCAUGAAACAACAACACAUUAUAUUAAUCAAAAACACAAACGAAAAGUGUAAGGUAAUUCAAACCCGCAGAAAAUAAUAAGAUAUAAGUGUCCCUUUUCUGAUGUCCCACCAUAACAUAAUUCUUUAAUUAUUUUUCUCUGUUGAUUCCGAGGAGAAUAAGACCACACAUUUGUAAGUCUUACUUACUUGUUUCUUUGUAUCACAUAAGCACACCUCUUGUUGAGGAGAAUGGCAAAAGCAUUCACUCAAAAGAAGAGGUCAAUACAAAAGUUAAAAGGAGUGGGCUGAACAAUGUAGACAAAGUAGAAUUUUUUCUAGCUAAGAUAAUUUUCCAAACACCUGGUGGACAUCAAAAAUCUUUCAACAGAAAAACCACAUAUGCAUGCUCCAUUAAAUUUUAAAUCUUGCUACAACUCAAAAAUAAAAUUAGAAGAAUGAUCAUACCAAUUAAGUGAUUGUGCUCUUAAUCUCCUGGUGUGGUAGGUUGAUGAAGUUGUUACCAAAAAGCAAAGAUUUCCAUAAUUGAUGUUCUUUGCUUCAUGUUAGGACUGAGAGAAUUCCCUAAAAUUUAAGCGAGACACGAUUUAGAAUUUAAAAUCCUAAAGAAAUAAGUAGAGAAAAUUUCAAAAUUCGAAAUAAAAAUGAUUAAGAAGUAACCGAUGUGAAAGAAUCAUCAAUUGUAAUACAAUUUUUGUGCUCUUCUUUGCCUGAUGUGGAAGAAUCAUAUACAGUCUCAUUCUCUCUUUUAAACUGGAAGAGACAGAGGAAAGAGAUAAUGGAACGAUCUAGAACCGAAAGGAAGUACAAGUAUAAAUCAGUCCUUUGAUAUUAUUAUUUUAUCCUUGAAUAAUAAUUAUAUUUACAAGUUUGCCCUUGGUCUUCC
This 3829-nucleotide long non-coding RNA is filed under the name Solanum tuberosum (potato). RNAcentral describes it as "long non-coding RNA (STUB_LNC000298)". The record is from RNAcentral. Lineage: Eukaryota; Viridiplantae; Streptophyta; Magnoliopsida; Solanales; Solanaceae.